CAGAAGGUAGUUUAAGUAAAAUACUAGUUUUGGAGAUUAGUAAUGGAUUGUAAUCCCUUUCUGA
RNAcentral lists this transfer RNA (64 nucleotides) under Aneurus similis. Its description in RNAcentral is "tRNA-Pro". Lineage: Eukaryota; Metazoa; Arthropoda; Insecta; Hemiptera; Aradidae. The record is from RNAcentral.